CGGCGGCCGCCAUGAUGAGGAGGUCGGCGCUGCUUCAGCGGGGCUGGCCCGGAGGGGGCUCUGGGCGAGGGUCUCUCCCCGCCCCCGCGGCCUCCUAGAGCCCACGUUUAGCUUGACAGGGUUGGAUGGGGCCGGAACCAUGAAGGCAACUGGAUUAGUCAAGUGUGGACUCUUGGGAGAGUGGCGCAGGCAGCCCAAGAUGGUUGCUAAUCUGAAAAUAGUAACAUUUCUCGCCCCUCAGCCCCGAGAAUUAUAGCACCUCCUGAACAAGCCUCGACAAUCGGGAACGGGCUUCCCCGCAUUUUCCUCAGCCUUGACAGUCGCACCUUCACCCUUUCUUCGGAAUGACCUUUGUUUCCCGAUUUCAAACCCUGCCCAGCACUUCUCAGACCAUGAAUCCUCCACAAUCCAGAAGCUGCCAGAGGGCAGGGAUUUCAUCUUGUUCAUGAUUGUAUACUAGCACCUCACGCAAUGCUUGGCUCAUAGUAGACCUUCAAUAAACAUAUAAUGAGAGACCUCUGUGUCCACCCUCCUCAGACAUGCAAGUUAUUUUCUUAAGACAAAUGAGCCUGUGAACCCCAGUUGCUCUAUCCAAAAGGCUCUUCAUUCUGGAUAACCAAAGAUUCUAGAAUCAGUCUCAGGGAAAAAAGCAGAAAAAUCUACCCUAAGAGAUUAAAAGAACUGGAUUCCAAUGAAGUGACAGUGAUCAGCUUCACGUGGAAGUCAGAAACUAUAGACAGCAUAAUGUCAGAAGACAACUCCAUAAGGAAGUCUCCAGGCCCAGGGGCUACAGCCCCACCUAUGAUGGAUUGGACAGCCCCAGCCUUUGGGCAAAGAAGCUGCAGAUUUGUCUUUCUGUCCAAUUUCUCUGGUGAGGGUGGCUUUUCGUGCCACUAGGAAGUAAAGUUCCAAGACUCAUGUUUGGGCAUCAAGUGGGGGGGAAUAGACAGAGAUGACCAGAGUCCAGCCUGUCUUUCCUGACUUCUGCAUUGUGGUUUGAGGCUAAAUACCCAGCUAAUAAUAAAGUUCUC
Long non-coding RNA from Zalophus californianus (California sea lion), 1031 nucleotides. RefSeq lists it as uncharacterized. The transcript has 3 exons. The record is from RefSeq and is a predicted model, not a curated record. Lineage: Eukaryota; Metazoa; Chordata; Mammalia; Carnivora; Otariidae.